CACGAAUUUGAUCCUUCUCUAUAUAUAGACUAUACAAUAAAUUAUAGUGCGGGGGCCUAAAUUUUGCAGCCCUUCACCGGCAAUGGUGAUGUCUCCAUAUGAGUGAAGUAUUCUCGAGAGGGAAGUAAAACAUAGCGCAGAUUUCAAUUCACUGCGAUGAUUUACAUGGAUGUCGUUAGACGAAAAUAUCGAGAUUAAAGGUGUGUUUCUUAAUUAGAUCUUAGGAGUGGGCAGUUUUAUCUGUAAGGGUGUACAAUAUAAAUAACAAACACUGAGCUCUUCGCGAUCGCAGCGACAGGAAUGUAACCCAAUUUUGGCAAAACAGAACACGCGGCCUGGUAUGAUUUAACUAAAUAUGACAGUGGAAAUGUCCCACCUGAUUUCUGGAACGACCACGGUAAAUAACGUUGACAAUUUAGAUUUAUGAAACAUCACAAUGUGUAAUAUACAUAAUAUAUUUUUGAAAAUACAUAUUUCUAGACUGUCCUGACUACAAUUUUAUUUCUACAUGAUCAUCACAUGUUACAUAAAUGUGGGGGAAAAUACUCGUCUUAUGAUUCUUCUUUUAUUUUAUUUUUUAUUUUUGUAGAUUAAGCUUGAUGAAUCCUACAACCUGUUAAUAGAUGCGAGCAAGAUUACCAGGCGGCGCCGGACUUGGACUUGUUGCUGCAUUAUUUUACUCCGACAUAUCUGGCAGCACACUCGACAGCAAAUAGAAUACUAUACUGCUAAUUCAAGAAUACUUACAAAAGCAGUUCAAAUGUGAUAAUGCC
Molecule: long non-coding RNA, 773 nt
Organism: Ostrea edulis (European flat oyster)
Lineage: Eukaryota; Metazoa; Mollusca; Bivalvia; Ostreida; Ostreidae
Exons: 2
Source: RefSeq, a predicted model, not a curated record